Molecule: ribosomal RNA, 439 nt
Filed under: uncultured bacterium
Lineage: Bacteria
Description: partial 16S ribosomal RNA
Rfam family: Bacterial small subunit ribosomal RNA
Source: RNAcentral
CUACGGGUGGCUCCAGUGGGGAAUAUUGCACAAUGGACGAAAGUCUGAUGCAGCAACGCCGCGUGGAGGAUGACACAUUUCGGUGCGUAAACUCCUUUUAUAUAGGAAGAUAAUGACGGUACUAUAUGAAUAAGCGCCGGCUAACUCCGUGCCAGCAGCCGCGGUAAUACGGAGGGCGCAAGCGUUACUCGGAAUCACUGGGCGUAAAGAGCGUGUAGGCGGAUUAAAAAGUCAGAAGUGAAAUCCUAUAGCUUAACUAUAGAACUGCUUCUGAAACUCUUAAUCUAGAAUAUGGGAGAGGUAGAUGGAAUUUCUGGUGUAGGGGUAAAAUCCGUAGAGAUCAGAAGGAAUACCGAUUGCGAAGGCGAUCUACUAGAACAUUAUUGACGCUGAGACGCGAAAGCGUGGGGAGCAAACAGGAUUAGAUACCCCAGUAGUC